AAUGUACUCCCCUGUCUGGAAAUACUUGUUGGAGAAAUGGAUAAAAAUGGAUUCUAAAACUAAAAUACGUCUAGACACAUUCAUUUUCCCGACAAGUAUUUCCGGAUGGAGGGAGUAUAUU
Molecule: non-coding RNA, 121 nt
Organism: Triticum urartu
Lineage: Eukaryota; Viridiplantae; Streptophyta; Magnoliopsida; Poales; Poaceae
Source: Rfam